Polypterus senegalus (gray bichir) is the source of this 482-nucleotide long non-coding RNA. RefSeq lists it as uncharacterized. NCBI's taxonomy places the organism in Eukaryota, Metazoa, Chordata, Cladistia, Polypteriformes, Polypteridae. The transcript has 3 exons. The record is from RefSeq and is a predicted model, not a curated record.
GGGGAGCUAGCCGACCUGAAAAAUGGAGCUCUCUCAUUUUUUUCCUUGAUGAUACACCAGGCAGCAGCCUGUCUCUUAUUAUGGAGUUGCCAGAAGAUGGCGUUCAGGCAGAGACUGACAUGCACAACCGUGGAAAGGCUGAAUAUGUUGGAAACAAUGGACAACAAUGAACUUGUAAAAAGACCAAAUGCAAGAAAUCCUGCCUGUAUCUGAUUACACUCCGAAGAUGUCACUUCCUGUGAACUAUCUAUAAAAACUCCUGAUCCUACAUACUUGAUCAGUUCUGUUUUGGACUCAAACCUGUACACAUUGUACACAAACUAAAGCCUUUUGCAGCCAGGGAAACUAUAUGGGUGGCUGCCCCAUACCUUUGUUGUGUGUCCGGCUAGAUAUUUCACAAUGGUCAUAACAUAAUUGCCAAAAAAAUCUGUAAUCUGAAAUACUUUAAAUUGCAAUUAGAGUAGUGAAGCUUAGACAUGCAA